RNAcentral lists this long non-coding RNA (3527 nucleotides) under Marmota monax (woodchuck). Lineage: Eukaryota; Metazoa; Chordata; Mammalia; Rodentia; Sciuridae. The record is from RNAcentral.
GUAACACUGAACUCAGCACUCUCUUUUCGCUUCUAAACUCACUGUAGACACUUAAUAUUCCUUAAGUCUAUGAUUGUUGACGCUGAGGCCCCAGAAAGUGGAGUUUGAUCCAAGCCCACAGGAAUUUAUCAUAAUGUUAUCUAGUGGUUGUCACAUGCCAUAGCAUAAAGUUCCUCAGUGGGACUGAAGAGGGAGCUCAAUGAAACAACACAGGACGAACUAAGAAGCACUUUCAGGUAGCCUCAAGCAGAAUCCAAUUCAACACUUCAGAGAAUCAGCAAUAGCUAAAAGAACUGCCUGCUCAGACUUGUCAAAGAUCCUGCUGCAAACUGCACCAGGCCCACAGCACGUGUCCUCAAAGGUUAGAGAGCAAAAAUAUUAACCUCUCCACCUUGCUGAGAGAGAGCAAUGCAACUACUUCAAAAACCCAGAAUGGCUCUUUCCAGAGGGGGAAUUAAAGAUGCUUUGGAUCCCAUCCUCUGAUGAUUCUGAGUUUUGCAUUGCCAUAGUUCCCAGUCAACAGAUGGGACAUUACCUUUGAAGGGAACCAAGAAGUAGACUGGCUUAAUAUAGCAGCCAGAGUUGGAUGCAAGGCUACUGUCAGACAUUCAGUUACUGCCUCUGUGAGUUGAAAAUACAUCCAGAUGAAGCCCAAGCUGAUGCUCUACUCAAUGGGGCACAAACACAAUGUGAAACAAACAAGAGAGAACCAGAUCUAGGUUUUAUUUGGUGAAAUCUGCAGAUGGCGUGGAGGCACAAUUCAAUUACAGUUAUUCCUCAAAGUUCCAUUAGAGAGAAGAGCAUGUGAAAGCUGAUUCAACAAUCAGAGUUGUUCUAAUAGGCCAAAUCUUCCCUUUGGGUUAUUUAGGAAACUACAAUAUUUCGGCUUUUGCUUACUGAAAUCAAGCUUGGAGAAGAGAUCCAAAAGAAUCAGGUGGGAAAGGCACAUGGAGAUAAUCCCAGAAAUAAUUUAGAGGUGAAAGCAGCUUGGUUAACCCAUUUAUGGGCAGGCAGGCAGAGGUAAAUGAUGAGUGAAGAAUUUGUAACCAAGGAUGACAUCAUUAUGAUGAUGUGAGAAUCUUGGACUAUUUAGUGUGGGGAAUGUUUUGGGCAACAACAAUCUCAACAAUAAGGACAAUGCACAAGGGCAGGGCAGAAAUGCCAGGACUUGAUUAGAAGUGACCAGGCCAGUAAUGGUUUUUCCUCCUGGCUCCAAAUGAGGAAAACAUGAAACUCAGUCCCCCUGAAUGGCAUGAUUUGCCUAAGACUCGGAACCCCACCAACUAAGUCAGAGCUCAAGAAAUGCAUGUAGAUAAGCUAUUUUGUUUCUAAAUUUAGCAACAUCAUAGGUAUCUAUAAUUACCUCUGUAAGCAAAUACAUUUCUUUCUCUUGAAUUUAUUUCAACAAAUGUAUUUUGUAAUACAGGUAGAAAACCACUCACUGAAAAAGACCCUGAAAAUAUAAGCAUAUAAAUAACUGCUAAAAGAGGUUACAUUUAACACUUAGGAGUCUGAAUUUUUGUUUCUUAGGAAACACAAGUAGAAAUUGUCAUGUAGAAAGGAAUAUUUCUUUGAGUAGAAAAACCCAAAACUUUUAUCAUUCAAAUAACCAAUCCUUGUUCCAUUUAGGCUUCACAACAAUAGUAUGAUGAAACUCAGAGAAAGUGAACCUCAAAGAGAGGUAAGUGGAGCAGGUUCACAUGGCUAUUAAGUGCUGGAGUCUGUGUGAACCCAGAUGGACCUGAGAUUUGAACUCAGAACACCUGUGCUUAACCAACAGCUGCUGCUACUCCUAGCUGAAUAAAACUGCUCAUAACUAAGGAUACUAAAAUCCCAAGUAAAUUAAACCAUGCCAAAAGUGUUUAUUUCUUAGACUUACCUGAAAGUACAUAUUGGUUUUGCAAAGUGUAAACACAGACCUUCCAUAGAUAUGCCCAGAUAUAAAGUUAAUAGAUGGUGCCAGGCUCGGGCAAGGUGGAGACAGGGAUGCUCUAUCUGCACAGCAGCAGAAGGGAAGGAGAGGUAUUUAUUUAGUUUCAGGCUGUGUGCAGGCCUGCAAGGACUGCUCUGUGCAGGGGUAAGGUAUUGCAACUCAGAGCUCAGCCCUCAUAACCCCAGGGCCAACAGAUCCCUAGGAAGCAGAUAAGGCUGAUGCAACACCAGAUACUCAGGAAAUAUCUGCAAUCUGACAUUCUGAUCUAAAAAAAAAAAAAAAAAAAAAAACCUGACAAACACUCAAAGGAGAAAAAAACAAGUAUAUAUUUAUAUUUUUUAAGUUGAGGACAUACUUUAGGUAUCACCAAAAGAAUAAGGACAUUUGGACUUCUGACUGUAUCAGUGGAACCCAGCUGUGCUAAUUCCUUAAUGCUAAGUCCUUGAUCUUUCAGCUGUUUUUGAUUUUGUUGUUUGUUUUAGAAAUUACCCAUUCAUGUUUUGUCUAUUGCUUAAGUUAAUUUCACUUGUCAGUUGGCUAGGCUAUAGUGCCCAGUUGUUUGGUCAAAUACCCCUCUUAGAUAUUGUUGGGAAGGUAUUUUUAAGAUGUGAUUAACAUUUAAAUCAGUAGCCUUUGACUAAAACAGAUUACCUGCCAUAAUUCGAUCAGUAGAAGACCCUAAGAGCACACUGUACUUCCCUAAAGAAAAAGGAAUUCCACCAGUCCUGUUUCUCUGGAGAACCCUGACAAAACACAGCUCAUAACUCCAGUUUACAUCUCUACAGUCUUGUUUUCUGGCAUAGAUCCCAAACCUAAGGUAUUUUCACUUAGAGCACUUACUGUCAUAUCAAAUACAACUUAUCAAGACCUAAACUCACACAAACUGUUUAGCAUUUACCCAGAAUGAACUGUAUAUAGUUAAAAAAAUAGACAAAUUGGCUAUCAAAUUAAGAUAAAGGGCAAUAAUGAAAUCCACUGGUGGUUACAUUCAAUGUUAAUGGACUGAAUUCUCCCAUUAAAACUAACAAACUGAAUUUUAAGAAGCAAAACAAUGUUACAUACAGUUCCUAACAAAUGCAAACAAAUACAAAUCAAAAGUGAUUAUAUGUGUGUAUAUGUACAUAUGUUUUCUUUUCUUAUUUGUUUAUUUAUGCACGCAUGCUGGGUACAGAACACAGGGUCUUACCCAUGCUAAGUGUGCACCCUACCACUGAGCUGCAUCCUCAAAUGAAAUGUGGUAACAUGAAGAAAACUUAGCAAACACUACCGUUAAAAGACAAUUUAUGAAGACAUUGGAUCAUAACAAGUUUGUUUGCAACAAAGAAGAAAAAUGUAGAGCAAAAAUUUUUAUGUAUGCAAGAACAAGAUAAGAAUAAAAUCAGAGAAGAUGUUAUUGUAUUUCACUUGGAACUAAACAGACUUCAAAAACAAGAAAUGAGGGGCUGGGGUUGUGGCUCAGCGGUAGAGCGCUCGCCUACCACGUUCGAGGCCCUGGGUUCGAUCCUCAGGACCACAGAAAAACAAAUAAAUAAAAUAAAAGUAUUGUGUCCAACUACAAUCAAAAAAUAAAUAUUUUAAAAAAAUAAGAACUGAG